GCCUCCAUAGCUCAGUCCGGUAGAGCGGCAGUUUUGUAAACUGUAGGUCACAGGUUCAAAUCCUGUUGGGGGCA
RNAcentral lists this transfer RNA (74 nucleotides) under Nanobdellati archaeon. RNAcentral's name for it is "tRNA-Thr". It matches the Rfam family "tRNA". Rfam says of the family: Transfer RNA (tRNA) molecules are approximately 80 nucleotides in length. Their secondary structure includes four short double-helical elements and three loops (D, anti-codon, and T loops). The record is from RNAcentral. Lineage: Archaea; Nanobdellati.